Molecule: unclassified non-coding RNA, 245 nt
Filed under: Hevea brasiliensis (rubber tree)
Lineage: Eukaryota; Viridiplantae; Streptophyta; Magnoliopsida; Malpighiales; Euphorbiaceae
Source: RNAcentral
GAUGUCAAUGACGACUUCUCUUUGCAGCUUAGGAGAGAAUUGGAGAGCAAUGCCGAGAAGAAAUGAGACGACUUUUUUUGGUCUUGUACGUGUUCAUCUUCUAAGAUCUAUGUUUAACUAGGUCUUUUGUCCCCAAUGUGGUUUUACACUGUUUGUCUUCUAUCCUUGUACAUGGUGCUAUUAUGAAUAUGCUUGGAAGCCUAAAACAUUGUUGCCUUUUCAAAUCAGAUGAUUGGAAAAUUGUG